UGGGGACUAAUCUCCAAGAAGGUCAGUGAGGCUCUGGUACUGCCUUGGCCGGAUGGGGAUUAGCACCUGGGUGUGAGCCUCCCCCCUGCCAGCCAGUGCCUCCACUCCCAGGUCCCUCCACUGUCACACAGACCCUGGGCGGCCUCUAAGCCCAGAAAUUCCAAGAUAAGGGUAUCACCCUCCCCCCACCUCCAAACCUGUCUGCCACCUAGAAAUCACCUCUUUAUCCUUUGCUGGGGCUAAUUCCCACCCUAGUUUGGGGUGGGAUGGGGCUGUUUUGCAGCUUCCCCCUUUCUCCAUACACACGAUGCCUCCCGCCUCUGGUCCCCUGAGCCCUAGCCCCAUGAAUCCACAUCCCCAAUCUCUCUCAGCGUACAUCUCUUGUUAUCUUGAAUUGUCUCCAUGUGUCUCUCUCUGUUCCUCUUCCCUGGUUUCUCUCUGGUCAUCUCUGCCUCUGGUCUCGCUCUCACAGUCUAGGGUCUGCAGCCUCUGCAGCCCCUGGGAUCUCCCCUGUGUUCUCACACCCCUCUUUCCUUCAGCCUAUGCUCUUGGUCUCUUUCUCAUCCUUCUCCAUUUCUCUUCUGCUGUUUCUCAGCUGCUGCACUCCAACCGCUCAAUCCCUUUUCCACUUCCCCCACUACCUGGUCCCUCCCCCACCCAGGGUGCUGACAGGGACGACAGGAAGCAGGCUCCAGCUUUGAGCAGGAGGGGGAGGGGGCCUGCCUCGUACAGCAGCUGCUGAGUGCCCCCCUCCCCAUGCAGCCCCGCACCUGCAGGCCUGCCCGGCACUGGGAGACCCCGCCCUGUGGCAGCGGAGCAGCGGAGGAGGGACCUGGAUGAGAGGCCAGAUCCCUGGUAAUGGCCAGCAACUGCAGUCUUAGGAUGGAUAGUGGGUGGGGGACUGGGGAAAUUAGGCCCUGGGGUGAAGGGGCAGUAAUUCUCAGUCACCAGGAAAGAUCCCCGCCCACUGGGUGGCUGCCUCCUUCUCACCACCCUCCCCUCAAGGCUGUGUGUGUGUGUGUGUGUGUGUGUGUGUGUGUGUUUGGGAGGGGGUCAUUCCAAGCAGAGAUCUCUUUGUUGUGCAAACCCAGGAUGUGGAAUCCUGGCCCCUGACAUGGUUGGGGAGGGAAGGGGAAGCCCUCAAAGACACAGGGAAGGUGCACCAGGACCAUGCCAGGCCCCUGACAGGCAAAUCUUUCAGUGCCAGGCAGAGUAAAGGGCUGGCCCAGGACAGAGCCUGGUCAGGGGGGCCAGGAGAGGGCUGCACACACCCUAGCCCAGGACCCAAGGACCUUCCCCUGCCCCUGGGGCUGCUCCACGAAGAGCCCUGCUGUAGUCCACCCUCUCCCUAAACCUGCCUGGGAUCUGUCCAACGCCAUCUCGCCCCUCCCCCUUCUCUCUCUGUGCCACGGACUCGGGCUCAGCAGAUCCUUUGGGGCCUCUGGGUAGUUGGGUGACAUAGGGGCACUAGAGCGGGUGGUGGUGGAGGGGACAAUCCAGCACCUCUAGGAACAUGCAGUUUGGAGGGACUUCUGACCCUGGUUCCCAUCUCCCGGGGCUGCCUCUGCCUGAGCUGAGGGCCACCUACCUACCCCACCCCAGCUGAUGGAAGCGAGGAUGUGGGAUUCUGAGGUUUGAGGAAGGUGGUGAACCGCUGUGCCUGGGGGCUUGUCCUUUUCAGUCAGUCUGACUGUCUCAGACGUUUUUAGACUGAAAGAGGGACCAAGGGAGUGUCAGGGAGUGACAUCUCAGGAUGUCAGCAGCACCACAGAGAUCCGAGGAGUGGAUUUGAGGCUCCAUGGUGGCCCUCAGCUUCCCCCGCCCAGAUUUUCCACACCUCAGCCUUGGCUCCAACUCCGUGAGGGCCU
Molecule: long non-coding RNA, 1868 nt
Filed under: Homo sapiens (human)
Lineage: Eukaryota; Metazoa; Chordata; Mammalia; Primates; Hominidae
Description: HSALNT0047400
Source: RNAcentral